This 378-nucleotide ribosomal RNA is filed under the name uncultured bacterium. RNAcentral describes it as "bacterial SSU rRNA". It matches the Rfam family "Bacterial small subunit ribosomal RNA", at positions 521 to 896 of the family's 1533-position model. The record is from RNAcentral.
UCAUACGUAGGUCCCAAGCGUUAUCCGGAAUUACUGGGCGUAAAGAGUUGCGUAGGCGGCUUAUUAAGCAAGGUGUGAAAUCGUACGGCUCAACCGUAUACACAUACUUUGAACUGGUAAGCUAGAGUAUAUGAGAGGUCACUGGAAUUUCUAGUGUAGGAGUGAAAUCCGUAGAUAUUAGAAGGAACACCGAUGGCGUAGGCAGGUGACUGGCAUAUUACUGACGCUAAGGCACGAAAGCGUGGGGAGCGAACCGGAUUAGAUACCCGGGUAGUCCACGCCGUAAACUAUGGAUGCUAGCUGUUGGUCGUAUCGACCCGAUCAGUAGCGAAGCUAACGCGUUAAGCAUCCCGCCUGUGGAGUACGAUCGCAAGAUUA